This 497-nucleotide ribosomal RNA is filed under the name uncultured bacterium. RNAcentral's name for it is "partial 16S ribosomal RNA". It matches the Rfam family "Bacterial small subunit ribosomal RNA", at positions 28 to 507 of the family's 1533-position model. The record is from RNAcentral.
GAUGAACGCUGGCGGCGUGCCUAAUACAUGCAAGUCGAGCGAACAGACGAGGUGCUUGCUCCUCUGACGUUAUCGGCGGACGGGUGAUUAACACGUGUAUAACCUACCUCUAAGACUGGGAUAACUUCGCGAAACCGUAUCUAAUACCGGAUAAUAUAUUGAACCUCAUGGUUCAAUAGUGUUAGUCGGUUUUUCUGUCUCUUAUAGAUUGAUCCGCGCCGCAUUAGCUAGUUGGUAAGGUAACGGCUUACCAAGGCAACGAUGCGUAGCGGACAUGAGAGGGUGAUAGGGCACACGGGAAGUGAGACAGGGAACAGACUACUACGGGAGGAAGCAGAAGGGAAUGUUAGGCAAUGGGGGAAAGGAUGACGGAGCAAGGCGGCGUGAGUGAAGAAGGACUAAGGAUCGGAAAACUAUGUUAGUAGGAAAGAAAAAAAGUGAAAGAAACUAUGAAGGUAAUGACGGUAACUAAAGAGAAAGCAACGGCUAACUACGUG